This 1431-nucleotide ribosomal RNA is filed under the name Chattonella cf. subsalsa. RNAcentral's name for it is "LSU rRNA". It matches the Rfam family "Eukaryotic large subunit ribosomal RNA", at positions 45 to 1384 of the family's 3401-position model. Lineage: Eukaryota; Raphidophyceae; Chattonellales; Chattonellaceae. The record is from RNAcentral.
ACCGAGUUGGUGUAGGGGAGCACUCGGCAUUCGCUAGUAACGGCGAGUGAAGCGGGAAGAGCUCAUGUUGUAAAUCUGGAUGAGGGUUCCUCGUCCCGAAUUGUAGUCUAGAGAUGCGUGCUCAGCUACUCUCCAGGGCUAAGUCUGUUUGUGAAAGACAGCGUCAUGGACGGUGAUAACCCGGUUCUUGCCUUGGAUGUUGUAGCGUUAUGAGCCGUCCUCAACGAGUCGAGUUGCUUGGGAUUGCAGCUCUAAGUGGGUGGUAAAUUCCAUCUAAAGCUAAAUAUUGGUGGGAGACCGAUAGCGAACAAGUACCGUGAGGGAAAGAUGAAAAGAACUUUGAAAAGAGAGUUAAAUAGUACCUGAAACUGCUGAAAGGGAAGCGAAUGAAGUCAGUGUUGCUCUUUGUGCUCUGCAUACUCCCUGCGGGGAUUGUGUAUCGAGGACUUUGGGCUUGUCAGGAUGAGUUCUCUGCCGCGGGAUAUGUUUUGUAUGCUGGAUGCUUUUUGCGGAACAUACUUUCUCUGUCGUGGCUUGGACUGAGGUUCCAUCUUGCCGUUGCCUAUGCGUUACUCUCCGAUUGCUGUCUCGGUUCUACUGCUUGCAGUGCUCAGUGGCAGUAGUUGGACUGUGCGUAUUACGCAUGCAAGGUCAGGAUCCUGACGAAAUGGCUUUAUUUACCCCGUCUUGAAACACGGACCAAGGAGUCUAACAUACGUGCGAGUACUUUGGUGGCAAACCAAUGUGCGCAAUGAAAGUAAAGGCUGGCUUCCGUCAGCUCAUGUGGGAUCCUUAUGGAGCACCAUCGACCGACCAUUAUGCCUUCGGGCUAAAGGUUUGAGUGUGAGCAUUUAUGUUGGGACCCGAAAGAUGGUGAACUAUGCCUGAAUAGGGCGAAGCCAGGGGAAACUCUGGUGGAGGCUCGUAGCGAUUCUGACGUGCAAAUCGAUCGUCAAAUUUGGGUAUAGGGGCGAAAGACUAAUCGAACCAUCUAGUAGCUGGUUCCCUCCGAAAUUUCCCUCAGGAUAGCUGCAACCGGUUAAGAGUUUUAUCAGGUAAAGCGAAUGAUUAGAGGCCUCGGGGUCGGAAUGACCUCGACCUAUUCUCAAACUUUAAAUGGGUAAGAACCCGGGGUUGCUUAAUUGAACCCUGCGGUCGAAUCUCGGUUGCUAGUGGGCCAGUCCGGGUAAGCUGGACUGGCGAUGCGGGAUGAUCCGAACGCUUAGUUAAAGUGCCUAACUGCUCGCUCACCUAGAUCCCACAAAAGGUGUUGGUUCAUUUAGACAGCAGGACGGUGGCCAUGGAAGUCGGAACCCGCUAAGGAGUGUGUAACAACUCACCUGCCGAAUGAACUAGCCCUGAAAAUGGAUGGCGCUAAAGCGUGCGACUUAUACUAAGCCAUCAGUGCGAGACGUAUGCACUGAUGAGUAG